GUCGUGGAGGUUAAGUGGCUGCCUCCUUGUUUCUUGUGCCACAAGCUUCCUACUAAUCUUGUUAUCAACCGCUUUAUCGUUUUGGUGGAAGCAAUUAUGAUCUUUCGUCUCUUUUAUGUCUAAGAUUUCUCAAGUAUGUUUUGUUCCAGAGUAUUUCAUGAUCCGCUUUGGCACAUUGCUAAGGUGAGACAGAUGAUUAUAUGAUAUUUGGAUGGAUUGGUGCUACUGAACUUUUUAUUCGGAUUUUUAUUUGGGCUUUGGGUGAGUGUAAUUAGGUAUAUGGACUUUUAUUAUACGAGAUAUUGUUGGUGGUCCGCUGUUCUCCGGAUUGGAGGUGACGGGUGUCACAACAACAUGCAUUACAUCCGCAUUUACUUAUAUUAAAGACCAUCAACAAUGUUUCUGGUGACUUUCGGUGUGAUGCUUGCUGGCGCAGUUGUGGUGGCUUUGUUUAUCAGUGUCCAAAGGAGGAAUGUGACUUCAAGCUAGAUGUGAGGUGUGCUUCCAUUUCAGAGCCUUUUGAUUACCAAGGUCAAUAGGUCAUGAGCAUCCAAUGUUCCUAUCUUUAGACAUAGGCAUGCAGAUGUUAAAUUGCAUCAAAUGCGAUUUUAUUGUGUAUGGAAUGUGCCACCUUAUCAUAUAAAGCAAGGUAUAAGAGCGACAAACAUUUUCUCACACUUUCAUGGGGAGAAGAGAUGUGUGAGAAAUAUUGGUGCGAAGAGUGCGAAAAUAGAGUCGACACAUUCUUCUAUCGGUGUAAUGAUUGCUGCACCAUCCUUCACACUGCCUGCUUAUUCAGCGAAGAUCUAUAUAUGAAACCUGGUCAAUGUUUCCAAUUAUACGGCAAGGAGGUUAAAAUUCUUGCCAAAAGGAAUAUUUCUCGGCCAAUUUGCGAUUAUUGUAGGAAGCCUUGUCAAGGCAAAAUAUUCACAACAGAAGACAGCACA
Brassica oleracea var. oleracea is the source of this 947-nucleotide long non-coding RNA. RefSeq lists it as uncharacterized. The transcript has 3 exons. The record is from RefSeq and is a predicted model, not a curated record. Lineage: Eukaryota; Viridiplantae; Streptophyta; Magnoliopsida; Brassicales; Brassicaceae.